This 228-nucleotide ribosomal RNA is filed under the name uncultured bacterium. Its description in RNAcentral is "partial 16S ribosomal RNA". It matches the Rfam family "Bacterial small subunit ribosomal RNA", at positions 104 to 334 of the family's 1533-position model. The record is from RNAcentral.
CGGGGUGAGUAAUGUCUGGGAAACUGCCUGAUGGAGGGGGAUAACUGCUGGAAACGGUAGCUAAUACCGCAUAACGUCGCAAGACCAAGAGGGGGACCUUCGGGCCUCUUGCCAUCGGAUGUGCCCAGAUGGGAUUAGCUAGUAGGUGGGGUAACGGCUCACCUAGGCGACGAUCCCUAGCUGGUCUGAGAGGAUGGCCAGCCACACUAGAACUGAGACACGGUCCAG